This 700-nucleotide ribosomal RNA is filed under the name uncultured bacterium. RNAcentral describes it as "bacterial SSU rRNA". It matches the Rfam family "Bacterial small subunit ribosomal RNA", at positions 93 to 810 of the family's 1533-position model. The record is from RNAcentral.
AACCGGCGCACGGGUGAGUAACACGUAGCUUAUCUGCCCCUUAGAGGGGGAUAACGGUUGGAAACAGCCGCUAAUACCCCAUAAGCUCACGGUUUGUAGAGGAUUGUGAGAAAAGCGAAUAGUGCUAAGGGAUGGGGCUGCGAGCCAUCAGCUAGUUGGUGAGGUAAAGGCUCACCAAGGCGACGACGGCUAGGGGACCUGAGAGGGUGACCCCCCACACUGGAACUGAGACACGGUCCAGACUUCUACGGAAGGCAGCAGUGAGGAAUAUUGCACAAUGGGCGCAAGCCUGAUGCAGCGACGCCGCGUGGGUGAAGAAGGAUUUCGGUCUGUAAAGCCCUUUUCUGUGUGACGAGAGUGGACGGUAGCACAGGAAUAAGUCUCGGCUAACUACGUGCCAGCAGCCGCGGUAAAACGUAGGAGGCAAGCGUUAUCCGGAGUUACUGGGCGUAAAGCGCGUGCAGGUGGUUUGGUAAGUUGGUUAUGAAAGCUCUUGGCUAAACUGGGAGAGGUUGACCAAAACUGCUAGACUAGAGUGGAUGAGAGGUAAAUGGAAUUCCGCGUGUAGUGGUGAAAUGCGUAGAGAUGCGGAAGAACACCAGUGGCGAAGGCGAUUUACUGGCAUCCAACUGACACUCAGACGCGAAAGCAUGGGUAGCGAACGGGAUUAGAAACCCCGGUAGUCCAUGCCGUAAACGAU